Molecule: transfer RNA, 72 nt
Filed under: Muribaculaceae bacterium
Lineage: Bacteria; Pseudomonadati; Bacteroidota; Bacteroidia; Bacteroidales; Muribaculaceae
Description: tRNA-Arg
Rfam family: tRNA
About the family: Transfer RNA (tRNA) molecules are approximately 80 nucleotides in length. Their secondary structure includes four short double-helical elements and three loops (D, anti-codon, and T loops). Further hydrogen bonds mediate the characteristic L-shaped molecular structure. tRNAs have two regions of fundamental functional importance: the anti-codon, which is responsible for specific mRNA codon recognition, and the 3' end, to which the tRNAs corresponding amino acid is attached (by aminoacyl-tRNA synthetases). tRNAs cope with the degeneracy of the genetic code in two manners: having more than one tRNA (with a specific anti-codon) for a particular amino acid; and 'wobble' base-pairing, i.e. permitting non-standard base-pairing at the 3rd anti-codon position.
Source: RNAcentral
GCUCCGGUAGUUCAACGGAUAGAAUAGAAGUUUCCUAAACUUUAGAUAGGAGUUCGAUUCUCCUCCGGAGUA